This 303-nucleotide ribosomal RNA is filed under the name uncultured bacterium. RNAcentral describes it as "partial 16S ribosomal RNA". It matches the Rfam family "Bacterial small subunit ribosomal RNA", at positions 507 to 807 of the family's 1533-position model. The record is from RNAcentral.
AGCAGUCGCCGCGGUAAUACGAAGGGGGCUAGCGUUGUUCGGAAUUACUGGGCGUAAAGCGCACGUAGGCGGAUAUUUAAGUCAGGGGUGAAAUCCCGCAGCUCAACUGCGGAACUGCCUUUGAUACUGGGUAUCUUGAGUAUGGAAGAGGUUAGUGGAAUUGCGAGUGUAGAGGUGAAAUUCGUAGAUAUUCGCAGGAACACCAGUGGCGAAGGCGGCUAACUGGUCCAUAACUGACGCUGAGGUGCGAAAGCGUGGGGAGCAAACAGGAUUAGAGACCCCUGUAGUCCCUGUCUCUUAUAC